UCCUUCAUGGUGAAAUGGUAAACACGCUUGAUUCAAAAUCAAGUGCUUUCUAGCUUGCCGGUUCGAGUCCGGUUGAAGGUA
Molecule: transfer RNA, 81 nt
Filed under: Colacium vesiculosum
Lineage: Eukaryota; Euglenozoa; Euglenophyceae; Euglenales; Euglenaceae
Description: tRNA-Leu
Rfam family: tRNA
About the family: Transfer RNA (tRNA) molecules are approximately 80 nucleotides in length. Their secondary structure includes four short double-helical elements and three loops (D, anti-codon, and T loops).
Source: RNAcentral